AGUGAACGCUGGCGGUAGGCCUAACACAUGCAAGUCGAACGGCAGCACAGUAAGAGCUUGCUCUUACGGGUGGCGAGUGGCGGACGGGUGAGGAAUACAUCGGAAUCUACUUUUUCGUGGGGGAUAACGUAGGGGAACUUACGCUAAUACCGCAUACGACCUACGGGUGAAAGCAGGGGAUCUUCGGACCUUGCGCGAUUGAAUGAGCCGAUGUCGGAUUAGCUAGUUGGCGGGGUAAAGGCCCACCAAGGCGACGAUCCGUAGCUGGUCUGAGAGGAUGAUCAGCCACACUGGAACUGAGACACGGUCCAGACUCCUACGGGAGGCAGCAGUGGGGAAUAUUGGACAAUGGGCGCAAGCCUGAUCCAGCCAUACCGCGUGGGUGAAGAAGGCCUUCGGGUUGUAAAGCCCUUUUGUUGGGAAAGAAAGGCAGCAGGUUAAAACCCCGCUGUUCUGACGGUACCCAAAGAAUAAGCACCGGCUAACUUCGUG
Molecule: ribosomal RNA, 492 nt
Filed under: uncultured bacterium
Lineage: Bacteria
Description: partial 16S ribosomal RNA
Rfam family: Bacterial small subunit ribosomal RNA
Source: RNAcentral